This 253-nucleotide ribosomal RNA is filed under the name uncultured bacterium. Its description in RNAcentral is "partial 16S ribosomal RNA". It matches the Rfam family "Bacterial small subunit ribosomal RNA", at positions 524 to 776 of the family's 1533-position model. The record is from RNAcentral.
UACGUAGGCAGCGAGCGUUGUUCGGAAUUACUGGGCGUAAAGCGCGCGUAGGCGGCUUUGCAAGUCGGGUGUGAAAUCCCCAGGCUUAACCUGGGAACUGCAUUCGAGACUGCAUUGCUAGAGUAUGGGAGAGGGAAGUGGAAUUUCCGGUGUAGCGGUGAAAUGCGUAGAUAUCGGAAGGAACAUCAGUGGCGAAAGCGACUUCCUGGACCAAUACUGACGCUCAUGUGCGAAAGCGUGGGGAGCAAACAGG